This 278-nucleotide long non-coding RNA is filed under the name Anser cygnoides (Swan goose). RNAcentral describes it as "lncRNA (ENSACDG00005011275.1)". Lineage: Eukaryota; Metazoa; Chordata; Aves; Anseriformes; Anatidae. The record is from RNAcentral.
GUCCUUCUUGGUCCUCCUCCACCUCCCGAGCCUCCUCUUGGUCCUUCAUCUCCUCCUGAACCUCCUCUUGGUCCAUCUCGGUCCUCCAUCUUCUCCUGAGCCUCCUCUUGGUCCUCCAUCUUCUCCCGAGCCUCCUCUUGGUCCUCCAUCUUCUCCCGAGCCUCCUCUUGGCCCUUCUUGGCCCUUCUUGGCCCUUCUUGGCCCUUCUUGGCCCUUCUUGGCCCUUCUUGGCCCUUCUUGGCCCUUCUUGGCCCUUCUUGGCCCUUCUUGGUCCUUCU